UGCCUAACACAUGCAAGUCGAGGGGCUCUUCGGAGUCACUGGCGCACGGGUGAGUAACACGUAGGUCAUCUACCCCUAUCACAGACAUAACCCCGGGAAACCGGGGCUAAUAUCUGAUGAGGUCGCGAGAUCAAAGCUUCGGCGGAUAGGGAUGAGCCUGCGGCUGAUUAGCUAGUUGGUGAGGUAAUGGCUCACCAAGGCGACGAUCAGUAGCUGGUCUGAGAGGACGAACAGCCACACUGGAACUGAGACACGGUCCAGACUCCUACGGGAGGCAGCAGUGAGGAAUAUUGGUCAAUGGGAGCAAUCCUGAACCAGCAAUGCCGCGUGUGGGAUGAAGGCGCUUCGCGUCUAAACCAC
RNAcentral lists this ribosomal RNA (360 nucleotides) under uncultured organism. RNAcentral's name for it is "bacterial SSU rRNA". It matches the Rfam family "Bacterial small subunit ribosomal RNA", at positions 45 to 433 of the family's 1533-position model. The record is from RNAcentral.